AUUGAACGCUGGCGGCAUGCUUUACACAUGCAAGUCGAACGGUAACAGGGAGCUUGCUCCGCUGACGAGUGGCGAACGGGUGAGUAAUGCGUCGGAACGUGCCGAGCAGUGGGGGAUAACGCAGCGAAAGUUGUGCUAAUACCGCAUACGUACUGAGGUAGAGAGUGGGGGACCUUCGGGCCUCACGCUAUUCGAGCGGCCGACGUCUGAUUAGCUAGUAGGUGAGGUAAAGGCUCACCUAGGCGACGAUCAGUAGCGGGUCUGAGAGGAUGAUCCGCCACACUGGGACUGAGACACGGCCCAGACUCCUACGGGAGGCAGCAGUGGGGAAUUUUGGACAAUGGGCGAAAGCCUGAUCCAGCCAUGCCGCGUGUCUGAAGAAGGCCUUCGGGUUGUAAAGGACUUUUGUCGGGGAGGAAAUCCCCAGCGUUAAUACCGCUGGGGGAUGACAGUACCUGAAGAAUAAGCACCGGCUAACUACGUGCCAGCAGCCGCGGUAA
RNAcentral lists this ribosomal RNA (500 nucleotides) under uncultured bacterium. RNAcentral describes it as "partial 16S ribosomal RNA". It matches the Rfam family "Bacterial small subunit ribosomal RNA", at positions 30 to 523 of the family's 1533-position model. The record is from RNAcentral.